GACGAACGCUGGCGGCGUGCUUAACACAUGCAAGUCGAGCGGUAAGGCCCUUUCGGGGGUACACGAGCGGCGAACGGGUGAGUAACACGUGGGUGACCUGCCCUCAGCUCUGGGAUAAGCCUGGGAAACCGGGUCUAAUACCGGAUAUGACUCCAUGACGCAUGUUGUGGGGUGGAAAGCCUUGUGCGGCUGAGGAUGGGCCCGCGGCCUAUCAGCUUGUUGGUGGGGUGAUGGCCUACCAAGGCGACGACGGGUAGCCGGCCUGAGAGGGCGACCGGCCACACUGGGACUGAGACACGGCCCAGACUCCUACGGGAGGCAGCAGUGGGGAAUCUUGCGCAAUGGGCGAAAGCCUGACGCAGCGACGCCGCGUGAGGGAUGACGGCCUGGUG
RNAcentral lists this ribosomal RNA (392 nucleotides) under uncultured bacterium. Its description in RNAcentral is "bacterial SSU rRNA". It matches the Rfam family "Bacterial small subunit ribosomal RNA", at positions 28 to 421 of the family's 1533-position model. The record is from RNAcentral.